AUACCAAUAAGCGGAGGAAAAGAAACUAACAAGGAUUCCCCUAGUAACUGCGAGUGAAGCGGGAAAAGCUCAAAUUUAAAAUCUGGCGGUCUUUGGCCGUCCGAGUUGUAAUCUAGAGAAGUGUUACCCGCGUCGGACCGUGUACAAGUCUCCUGGAAUGGAGCGUCAUAGAGGGUGAGAAUCCCGUCUUUGACACGGACUACCGAGGCUUUGUGGUGCGCUCUCAAAGAGUCGAGUUGUUUGGGAAUGCAGCUCAAAAUGGGUGGUAAAUUCCAUCUAAAGCUAAAUAUUGGCGAGAGACCGAUAGCGAACAAGUACCGUGAGGGAAAGAUGAAAAGAACUUUGGAAAGAGAGUUAAACAGUACGUGAAAUUGCUGAAAGGGAAACGCUUGAAGUCAGUCGCGUUGGCCGGAAAUCAGCCUUGGUUCUCCUUGGUGUAUUUUCUGGUUGACGGGCCAGCAUCAGUUUUGACCGGUGGAAAAAGUUGUAGGGAAUGUGGCAUCUUCGGAUGUGUUAUAGCCUUGCUUCGUAUACAUCGGUUGGGACUGAGGAACUCAGCACGCCGCAAGGCCGGGGUUCGCCCACGUUCGUGCUUAGGAUGCUGGCAUAAUGGCUUUAAUCGA
Molecule: ribosomal RNA, 623 nt
Filed under: uncultured fungus
Lineage: Eukaryota; Fungi
Description: eukaryotic LSU rRNA
Rfam family: Eukaryotic large subunit ribosomal RNA
Source: RNAcentral